AGUGAACGCUGGCGGUGGGCCUAACACAUGCAAGUCGAACGGCAGCACAGUAAGAGCUUGCUCUUACGGGUGGCGAGUGGCGGACGGGUGAGGAAUACAUCGGAAUCUACUUUUUCGCGGGGGAUAACGUAGGGAAACUUACGCUAAUACCGCAUACGACCUACGGGUGAAAGCAGGGGAUCUUCGGACCUUGCGCGAUUGAAUGAGCCGAUGUCGGAUUAGCUAGUUGGCGGGGUAAAGGCCCACCAAGGCGACGAUCCGUAGCUGGUCUGAGAGGAUGAUCAGCCACACUGGAACUGAGACACGGUCCAGACUCCUACGGGAGGCAGCAGUGGGGAAUAUUGGACAAUGGGCGCAAGCCUGAUCCAGCCAUACCGCGUGGGUGAAGAAGGCCUUCGGGUUGUAAAGCCCUUUUGUUGGGAAAGAAAAGCAGCAGGUUAAUACCCCGCUGUUCUGACGGUACCCAAAGAAUAAGCACCGGCUAACUUCGUG
This 492-nucleotide ribosomal RNA is filed under the name uncultured bacterium. RNAcentral describes it as "partial 16S ribosomal RNA". It matches the Rfam family "Bacterial small subunit ribosomal RNA", at positions 29 to 507 of the family's 1533-position model. The record is from RNAcentral.